ACUCGGAGUAUGUGCCAAUUUAUAUUUGCAUGGGCAUGAUGAAAAUUAUCAAUUUAGUUUACCUAUAUGAGACUAAACAAUGCAUAGGGUAAUUAUCAUGUAUGAGUAUUUUGAUUGUCAUGUUUAUUUUAAUAUUAACAACAUGAUGCGCUAUGCUAUUUCUAAUGCCAAAUUAGUAUAGGAAAAAACAUUUGUCGAGCAAUUCAUUUAGAUGAUACAUGCAUGCAUCCAUAUAAGGGAAUACAUAAUGUGAUUCAUU
This 259-nucleotide long non-coding RNA is filed under the name Hordeum vulgare. RNAcentral's name for it is "long non-coding RNA (HVUL_LNC000765)". Lineage: Eukaryota; Viridiplantae; Streptophyta; Magnoliopsida; Poales; Poaceae. The record is from RNAcentral.